CCUGGUGGUGCACGUCCCCAACCUUAUGUGGAUUUCCUAAAUUCUGCAAAAAAGGUUUGGAAGCUGAUCAAUCAAUACUGGAACUCCCUCUUCUCCAGAAGAGACAUCCUGGCCUCCAUGCAGAGGAAUGUGUGGAUGGACAUAUAUUUAAGGAAGACACUAAACCAGAAAAUACUACAUUACACCCUCUUAAAAGACUUCUAAGAUUGUUGUCAUGCCUACCACUGACAUUCAGAUGAUGUGUAUUGUUGAUUGUGAUUUCAUGUUUGGACCUGGUGAAGGAGUUUGAAGUCUCCAGAGCAGCAAAGAGAGUGGGGAGUAGAACUCAUCAUCUUUAGGUCACUCAUCAUCG
This 352-nucleotide long non-coding RNA is filed under the name Mus musculus (house mouse). RNAcentral's name for it is "predicted gene 29578". The record is from RNAcentral. Lineage: Eukaryota; Metazoa; Chordata; Mammalia; Rodentia; Muridae.